RNAcentral lists this ribosomal RNA (492 nucleotides) under uncultured bacterium. RNAcentral describes it as "bacterial SSU rRNA". It matches the Rfam family "Bacterial small subunit ribosomal RNA", at positions 335 to 803 of the family's 1533-position model. The record is from RNAcentral.
ACUCCUACGGGGAGGCAGCAGUAGGGGAAUUUUUCCGCAAUGGACGAAAGUCUGACGGAGCAAUGCCGCGUGAGUGAUGAAGGUUUUUCCGAAUCGUAAAGCUCUGUUGUAAGGGAAGAAUAGCAAGAAUAGGAAAUGAUUUCUUGUCUGACGGUACCUUACCAGAAAGCCACGGCUAACUACGUGCCAGCAGCCGCGGUAAUACGUAGGUGGCAAGCGUUAUCCGGAAUUAUUGGGCGUAAAGCGCAUGCAGGUGGUUUUGUUAAGUCAGAUGUGAAAGCCCGGGGGCUCAACCUCGGGAAUUUGCAUUUUGAAACUGGCAGACUAGAGUACUGUAGAGGGGGGGGUAGAAUUUUCAGGUGUAGCGGUGAAAUGCGUAGAGAUCUGAAGGGAAUACCGGUGGCGAAGGCGGCCCCCCUGGGACAGAUACUGACACUCAGAUGCGAAAGCGUGGGGAGCAAACAGGGAUUAGAUACCCUGGUAGUGUACUGU